UCUGGUGUCGAUGCGCCUGUGGGGCACACCCGUUCCCAUUCCGAACACGAUGGUUAAGACACAGACGGCCGAUGGUACUUUGCUGGAGACGGCACGGGAGAGUAGGUGGAUGCCAGAU
Molecule: ribosomal RNA, 118 nt
Filed under: Frisingicoccus caecimuris
Lineage: Bacteria; Bacillati; Bacillota; Clostridia; Lachnospirales; Lachnospiraceae
Source: RNAcentral